RNAcentral lists this ribosomal RNA (403 nucleotides) under uncultured bacterium. RNAcentral's name for it is "partial 16S ribosomal RNA". It matches the Rfam family "Bacterial small subunit ribosomal RNA", at positions 30 to 526 of the family's 1533-position model. The record is from RNAcentral.
AUUGAACGCUGGCGGCAGGCCUAACACAUGCAAGUCGAGCGAGCGGCGGACGGGUGAGUAAUGUAUGGGGACUGCCCGAUAGAGGGGGAUAACUACUGGAAACGGUAGCUAAUACCGCAUACUAUCGGAUAACCCAUAUGGGAUUAGCUAGUAGGUGAGGUAAUGGCUCACCUAGGCGACGAUCCCUAGCUGGUCUGCGAGGUGGAUCAGCCAAACGGGGACUGAGACACGGCCCAGACCCCUACGGAGGCAGCAGUGGGGAAGAUUGCAAAAUUGGCGCAAGCCUGAUGGAGCCAUGCCGCGUGGAUGAAGAAGGCCCUAGGGUUGUAAAGUACGUUCAGUCGGGAGGCGUUCCCGACAGAAGAAGCACCGGCUAACUCCGUGCCAGCAGCCGCGGUAAUAC